CGAACGUUUGCGGCGGGCCUAACACAUGCAAGUCGAACGCACUAGCAAUAGUGAGUGGCGCACGGGUGCGUAACACGUGGGUAAUCAACCCUUCAGCCUGGGAUAACGACUCGAAAGGGUCGCUAAUACCGGAUACGGCGCGAGAGGCUUCGGCUUCUCACGAGAAAGCCACGCAAGGGGCACUGAAGGACGAGCCUGCGGCCCAUCAGCUAGUUGGUGAGGUAAGAGCUCACCAAGGCUAAGACGGGUAGCUGGUCUGAGAGGAUGAUCAGCCACACUGGAACUGAGACACGGUCCAGACUCCUACGGGAGGCAGCAGUGGGGAAUAUUGCGCAAUGGGCGAAAGCCUGACGCAGCCACGCCGCGUGAGCGAUGAAGGCCUUCGGGUCGUAAAGCUCUGUGGGGAGAGACGAAGAAAGCCUGUGAAGAGCAGGCCUUGACGGUAUCUCCUUAGCAAGCACCGGCUAACUCCGUG
This 475-nucleotide ribosomal RNA is filed under the name uncultured bacterium. RNAcentral describes it as "bacterial SSU rRNA". It matches the Rfam family "Bacterial small subunit ribosomal RNA", at positions 30 to 507 of the family's 1533-position model. The record is from RNAcentral.